UAUCUUACUACACUAGGGAUUAUAUAGCUAGAUCUGAAAUUUCAAGAAAAUAGCUGUUUACUUGGCCGUUUUCCUAUGUCGUGAAGUCUGAAAUUUCAAUUCAGUGGAGCAGGGUCAAGAUAUUAACUGAUGUGCAUGAAAUUUCAGAUCUAGCUAUAUAAUCCCUGGUGUAGUAAGAGA
RNAcentral lists this microRNA precursor (180 nucleotides) under Podarcis lilfordi (Lilford's wall lizard). The record is from RNAcentral. Lineage: Eukaryota; Metazoa; Chordata; Lepidosauria; Squamata; Lacertidae.